This is a long non-coding RNA of Brassica napus (rape), 1806 nucleotides long. RefSeq lists it as uncharacterized. Lineage: Eukaryota; Viridiplantae; Streptophyta; Magnoliopsida; Brassicales; Brassicaceae. The transcript is spliced from 2 exons. The record is from RefSeq and is a predicted model, not a curated record.
UAAUCCAAAUGAAGCCAAACUAUUGUUUCAUUCUCCAAAAUAUAAUAAAAAUAAUAACUUAAUCCCGCGCAAGGCGCGGGUCUUAUCCUAGUUUUAUAUAAUAGGGAAAAUAAACUAAACCCAAAUCAGAAUUGGUAUCCGACCGAAGAUGUAAAAAAUACCCGAAUCUGUCUAUCUAUCUAUACUAAUAAAAGAGACUUUUUGAGGCUCCAUGGAGCAUUCAUAUCAUCGAAAAAUAUUUUUUCCGAAAGAUCACAUGUGGCGUUAUUACUAAUUUAUAAAAAAUAAAAGGGGAAUUGUCACUAAUACCACUUUCCUAAUACCACUUUUCAACUUUACACUUUUCAAAUUUACCAUUAAAAUUUUAAUGACUAAAGUACCAUUAUACCCCUCAUUUCAUUAAUUUAACCUAGAUCUAUUCUUCUCCAAAUGUCUGUCACGAGAUGAAAAUGAGAUCAAAUUGAGACGAGCUCCAACGAGAUCUCCGGCAAACUCGGCGAUCUCCGGCAAACUCGGCGAGCUCCGGCAAAUUCGGCGAUCUCCGGCGAACUUGGCGAUCUCCGGCGAACUCGACGAUCUCCGACGAACUCGACCGGAUUGGGAGAGCGUGGCGGCGAGUGGACAUCCCGCCGUUCCUCCGCCGGCAUUAUGUAGUCGUAGUAAUCCUCCGAUGCUAAAUCGGUCACGUUCGUCACGAAUCGCAUGCCGAGAAGUUCUCCGGCAAAGCUGACAGACUCGACAAGCUAAGACGAACGAGACGAUCUCUCUCCCAACGCCUAAGAAACACUAACAAAGGUAAGAUGAUAGUAUAUGGUGAUUUUUGCCUCUUUCUGUAAUUUUAGCUUGAUUUAUCAAAAUCGAUAUGUUUCUAAGAAAGAAGACGAAGUUUUUCAAGUGAAGUUUUCAGAUCUCAAAUUUAUAAGAUCUUAUAAAUUGGGUCUUUUCAAAUCUUACUGUUGAUCUGUUAGCAAUCAAAAGACACAAAGCUUAACGUAAGAGUACAAUUAUUGAUUUGGUUGAUUUAUUGUCAUAGUUUUCAGAUUUAUAUAAUUAUUUAAUUCAUGAGAAGGUACUAACCUAAGAGUAUAAUUAUUCUAUGAUUACUUCUUCUCUUGGUUGAUUUGGUGAUGUUGCAGAGAAUUACAAAUGUGUGUUGUCAGCUUUUGGAUUUAAAGGAUGUUGUGGAGAAUAUGUGUGGUGAUAUGCAUAUCUAAGUAUCUCACUUCUUUAAGAUUUUGAAAAUUUACGAGGUUGGUGAGCUGUUUGAAGAGGCAAGAGAGACUCUGAAGAAGAAUGUGGUUUGUGCUAUCAAAGAAUUACGUAUUUAUAACGCUUUAUAAAAAUUGCAGAGUUGGCUUCUUAGUACAUUCUUCUCUCUCAUCUUAUUUAGACAUCUCUUAUACUAAAACAAUUGUAUCUCUCUUUUAGUAGUUGCAUAGUUGAAGAUAUUAGUUGGACAUGUAAGUGAGUUUGGUUUCAAUUGUUUCUUUUAUAGAAGAGUGAGAUAUGGAGAAGCCUUGAUGUUCUCAGACUAUGUUAAAGCAAUAUACCCCUUGUUGAAGGACGUGGCUCUUUCACCAGAUAUGUCUUUUUUGUGUUGAUUGUCUUUUGGAGGGAUUUUAGAAAAAUUACCUUAUAAGCCAUUGUAAAUAAAUUUAUAAACGCUUAUAAAUCGCUUUGAGUUUCUUACACUCAUUCUGCCUAGCAUUCCUCACAAGACUUCUCAAGUUCAAACAUUUAUGUGUUUUGUAUAGACAUAUACAAUCAACUCUUGUUUAAAAACUUCUUAAUAAAAACUUAUAAAUC